AGGUUGACCUCGGAUCAGGUAGGGAUACCCGCUGAACUUAAGCAUAUCAAUAAGCGGAGGAAAAGAAACCAACAGGGAUUGCCUCAGUAACGGCGAGUGAAGCGGCAACAGCUCAAAUUUGAAAUCUGGCUCUUUCAGGGUCCGAGUUGUAAUUUGUAGAAGAUGCUUCGGGUGUGGCUCCGGUCUAAGUUCCUUGGAACAGGACGUCAUAGAGGGUGAGAAUCCCGUAUGUGACUGGCUGCCUCCGCCCAUGUGAAGCUCUUUCGACGAGUCGAGUUGUUUGGGAAUGCAGCUCAAAAUGGGUGGUAAAUUUCAUCUAAAGCUAAAUAUUGGCCAGAGACCGAUAGCGCACAAGUAGAGUGAUCGAAAGAUGAAAAGCACUUUGGAAAGAGAGUUAAACAGUACGUGAAAUUGUUGAAAGGGAAGCGCUUGCAAUCAGACUUGCGCGCGGUCGAUCAUCCGGUGUUCUCACCGGUGCACUCGAUCGUGCUCAGGCCAGCAUCGGUUUCGGUGGUUGGAUAAAGGCCUUGGGAAUGUGGCUCCUUUCGGGGAGUGUUAUAGCCCUCGGUGCAAUGCAGCCUACCGGGACCGAGGACCGCGCUUCGGCUAGGAUGCUGGCGUAAUGGUUGUAAGCGACCCGUCUUGAAACACGGACCAAGGAGUCUAACAUCUAUGCGAGUGUUUGGGUGUCAAACCCAUACGCGUAAUGAAAGUGAACGGAGGUGAGAACCCUUAAGGGUGCAUCAUCGACCGAUCCUGAUGUCUUCGGAUGGAUUUGAGUAAGAGCAUAGCUGUUGGGACCCGAAAGAUGGUGAACUAUGCCUGAAUAGGGUGAAGCCAGAGGAAACUCUGGUGGAGGCUCGCAGCGGUUCUGACGUGCAAAUCGAUCGUCA
This 893-nucleotide ribosomal RNA is filed under the name uncultured Ascomycota. RNAcentral's name for it is "eukaryotic LSU rRNA". It matches the Rfam family "Eukaryotic large subunit ribosomal RNA", at positions 1 to 907 of the family's 3401-position model. Lineage: Eukaryota; Fungi; Ascomycota. The record is from RNAcentral.